AUACGGAGGGUGCAAGCGUUACUCGGAAUCACUGGGCGUAAAGCGCGCGCAGGCGGCUUGAUAAGUUGGAUGUGAAAGCCUACGGCUCAACCGUAGAACUGCAUCCAAAACUGUCAAGCUAGAGUCUGGGAGGGGAAGAUGGAAUUAGUUGUGUAGGGGUAAAAUCCGUAGAGAUAACUAGGAAUACCAAAAGCGAAGGCGAUCUCCUGGAACAGUACUGACGCUGAGGCGCGAAAGCGUGGGGAGCAAACAGGAGUAGAAACCCCAGUAGUCC
Molecule: ribosomal RNA, 274 nt
Filed under: uncultured bacterium
Lineage: Bacteria
Description: partial 16S ribosomal RNA
Rfam family: Bacterial small subunit ribosomal RNA
Source: RNAcentral